UGAUGCGGCAGCUAUACAUGCAGUCGUAGGUAGCCGUAAGGUAGCUUGCUAUCAAUGGUGAGAGUGGCGCACGGGUGCGUAACGCGUGAGCAACCUACCUCUAUCAGGGGGAUAGCCUCUCGAAAGAGAGAUUAACACCGCAUAAUAUAAUCCUCCGGCAUCGGGAGAUUAUUAAAUAUUUAUAGGAUAGAGAUGGGCUCGCGUGACAUUAGCUAGUUGGUAGGGUAACGGCUUACCAAGGCGACGAUGUCUAGGGGCUCUGAGAGGAGAAUCCCCCACACUGGUACUGAGACACGGACCAGACUCCUACGGGAGGCAGCAGUAAGGAAUAUUGGUCAAUGGGCGGAAGCCUGAACCAGCCAUGCCGCGUGCAGGACGACUGCCCUAUGGGUUGUAAACUGCUUUUGUCCAGGAAUAAACCUAAAUACGUGUAUUUAGCUGAAUGUACUGGAAGAAUAAGGAUCGGCUAACUCCGUGCCAGCAGCCGCGGUAAUACGGAGGAUCCGAGCGUUAUCCGGAUUUAUUGGGUUUAAAGGGUGCGUAGGCGGCCUAUUAAGUCAGGGGUGAAAUACGGUGGCUCAACCAUCGCAGUGCCUUUGAUACUGAUGGGCUUGAAUCCAUUUGAAGUGGGCGGAAUAAGACAAGUAGCGGUGAAAUGCAUAGAUAUGUCUUAGAACUCCGAUUGCGAAGGCAGCUCACUAAGCUGGUAUUGACGCUGAUGCACGAAAGCGUGGGGAUCGAACAGGAUUAGAUACCCUGGUAGUCCACGCCCUAAACGAUGAUAACUCGAUGUUGGCGAUAGACAGCCAGCGUCUUAGCGAAAGCGUUAAGUUAUCCACCUGGGGAGUACGCCCGCAAGGGUGAACUCAAAGGAAUUGACGGGGGCCCGCACAAGCGGAGGAGCAUGUGGUUUAAUUCGAUGAUACGCGAGGAACCUUACCCGGGCUUGAAGUUAGUGAAGGAUGCAGAGACGCAUCCGUCCUUCGGGACACCGAAACUAGUGCUGCAUGGCUGUUCGUCAGCUCGUGCGUGAGUGUUGGGUUAGUUCCCGCACGAGCGCACCCUUAUGUUUAGUUGCAGCAUUUUAAGUGGGAACUCUAACGACUGGCCCUGGUGCCAUAGUGAAGAUGUGGGUACGACGUUCAAGUCAUCAUGGCCAUACGUCGGGCCACCACCGUGCCUACAUUGGAUGUGUUACCACGGCGGCCAUGCUAUUA
RNAcentral lists this ribosomal RNA (1217 nucleotides) under Sphingobacterium multivorum. Its description in RNAcentral is "bacterial SSU rRNA". It matches the Rfam family "Bacterial small subunit ribosomal RNA", at positions 37 to 1260 of the family's 1533-position model. Lineage: Bacteria; Pseudomonadati; Bacteroidota; Sphingobacteriia; Sphingobacteriales; Sphingobacteriaceae. The record is from RNAcentral.